AUGCGCGCCCCCUACUAUGCGUGGCCGCGCAUUACUCGCACGCUGACGCCACAUAUUAUUGCAUAGUAUACAGCAGCUGCUCCACGCGGUCAGAGUCUGGGUGUCAGCCUAGUCCGGACUGCGGAUGGUGAUUGUGUUAUGGGUCAGGUGGCAAUAUAUUGUGUUGGGAAAAUUACACUGCCAAAUCCCGCCCGUCAGUGACAGAUGUAAAAUAGCACAAAAAAGGAGAGAGGAGUAAGGAGUCGAUGCUUCUAGACAUAAUAUCCAGCUACAUGUGCAACUGGGUAUAUGGAUGGUGAUGUAUCAAACCUUUUAAAGAGUUUACAAGUUGAGAAGCUGCCUAUAGCAACCAGCUAGGUUCUUCUUAUGUUAUAGAAUGGACUCCACCAGUCUUUAUAAGUGCAUCUACUCGUUCUGACUUCUGUGAGUAAUCCCACAAAACCUCCUCAAACUGGAAGAUCAUGAUGCUUGUCAGAGCAUUGAUUACCAUCCUGGGAAUACAUAGAGACAAGGUUUGUCUAAAAAGGACGAUACACUGACGCAUAAUAUAUGUUUAGCUUAAACUUAUUUUUUAAAUCACAUGUAUGCAACCCGUUAUAUUGUACCUGUUGUUU
Long non-coding RNA from Pseudophryne corroboree (corroboree frog), 614 nucleotides. RefSeq lists it as uncharacterized. The record is from RefSeq and is a predicted model, not a curated record. NCBI's taxonomy places the organism in Eukaryota, Metazoa, Chordata, Amphibia, Anura, Myobatrachidae. The transcript is spliced from 3 exons.